RNAcentral lists this ribosomal RNA (253 nucleotides) under uncultured bacterium. Its description in RNAcentral is "partial 16S ribosomal RNA". It matches the Rfam family "Bacterial small subunit ribosomal RNA", at positions 524 to 776 of the family's 1533-position model. The record is from RNAcentral.
UACAGAGGGUGCAAGCGUUAAUCGGAAUUACUGGGCGUAAAGCGUGCGUAGACGGUUACAUAAGUCGGGUGUGAAAGCCCCGGGCUCAACCUGGGAAUUGCAUUCGAGACUGCGUAGCUAGGGUGCGGAAGAGGGAAGCGGAAUUUCCGGUGUAGCGGUGAAAUGCGUAGAUAUCGGAAGGAACACCGGUGGCGAAAGCGGCGCGCUGGACCUCUUCUGACGCUGAGGCGCGAAAGCCAGGGGAGCGAACGGG